This 490-nucleotide ribosomal RNA is filed under the name uncultured bacterium. RNAcentral describes it as "partial 16S ribosomal RNA". It matches the Rfam family "Bacterial small subunit ribosomal RNA", at positions 30 to 507 of the family's 1533-position model. The record is from RNAcentral.
AUUGAACGCUGGCGGCAGGCCUAACACAUGCAAGUCGAACGGUAACAGGAAGAAGCUUGCUUCUUUGCUGACGAGUGGCGGACGGGUGAGUAAUGUCUGGGAAACUGCCUGAUGGAGGGGGAUAACUACUGGAAACGGUAGCUAAUACCGCAUAACGUCGCAAGACCAAAAAGGGGGACCUUCGGGCCUCUUGCCAUCGGAUGUGCCCAGAUGGGAUUAGCUAGUAGGUGGGGUAACGGCUCACCUAGGCGACGAUCCCUAGCUGGUCUGAGAGGAUGACCAGCCACACUGGAACUGAGACACGGUCCAGACUCCUACGGAAGGCAGCAGUGGGGAAUAUUGCACAAUGGGCGCAAGCCUGAUGCAGCCAUGCCGCGUGUAUGAAGAAGGCCUUCGGGUUGUAAAGUACUUUCAGCGGGGAGGAAGGGAGUAAAGUUAAUACCUUUGCUCAUUGACGUUACCCGCAGAAAAAGCACCGGCUAACUCCGUG